Molecule: ribosomal RNA, 301 nt
Filed under: uncultured bacterium
Lineage: Bacteria
Description: partial 16S ribosomal RNA
Rfam family: Bacterial small subunit ribosomal RNA
Source: RNAcentral
CAGCGCCGCGGGAAAACGAAGGGGGCUAGCGUUGUUCGGAUUUACUGGGCGUAAAGGGUGCGUAGGCGGACUGAUAAGUCAGGGGUGAAAUCCCAAGGCUCAACCUUGGAACUGCCUUUGAUACUGUUAGUCUUGAGUUCGAGAGAGGUGAGUGGAACUGCGAGUGUAGAGGUGAAAUUCGUAGAUAUUCGCAAGAACACCAGUGGCGAAGGCGGCUCACUGGCUCGAAACUGACGCUGAGGCACGAAAGCGUGGGGAGCAAACAGGAUUAGAGACCCCUGUAGUCCCUGUCUCUUAUACA